UGAAUACGAGACGCUACGGCGUCGAAGCAGUCUAUGUCAUACUUCCAAGAAAAGCUUGCACUGUCAUAAACAAAUAAUGCCUGUACCAUAACCGACACAGGUGGGUAGGUAGAGUAUACUAAGGGGCGCGAGAUAACUCUCUCUAAGGAACUCGGCAAAAUGACUCCGUAACUUCGGGAGAAGGAGUGCCUUAUUUAUAAGGUUGCAAUAACAAGAUCCAAGCAACUGUUUAUCAAAAACACAGGUCUCCGCUAAGUCGUAAGACGAUGUAUGGGGGCUGACGCCUGCCCAGUGCCAGAAGGUUAAAGAAGUUGGUUAGCAUUAGCGAAGCUGAUAACUGAAGCCCUGGUGAACGGCGGCCGUAACAAUAACGGUCCUAAGGUAGCGAAAUUCCUUGUCGGGUAAGUUCCGACCCGCACGAAAGGCGUAAUGAUUUGGUUACUGUCUCGGAGAGGGGCUCGGUGAAAUAGACUUGUCUGUGAAGAUGCGGACUACCUGCACCAGGACAGAAAGACCCUAUGAAGCUUUACUGUAACCUGAAAUUGAAAUUGGACUUUAUUUGCGCAGUAUAGGUGGGAGGCAUUGAGAAUAUUCUUGCGGGAAUGUUGGAGCCAUCAGUGAGAUACCACUCUUGUAAUGUUAGAUUUCUAACUUUGUAUCAUUAUCUGGUCAAAGGACAGUUUCAGGCGGGCAGUUUGACUGGGGCGGUCGCCUCCUAAAUGGUAACGGAGGCGCACAAAGGUUUCCUCUGAACGGGUAGAAAUCGUAUCUAGAGUGUAAAGGCAUAAGGAAGCUUGACUGUGAGACCUACAAGUCGAGCAGGGACGAAAGUCGGUCUUAGUGAUCUGACGGUGCUGAGUGGAAAGGCCGUCACUCAACGGAUAAAAGUUACUCUAAGGAUAACAGGCUGAUCUCCCCCAAGAGUUCACAUCGACGGGGAGGUUUGGCACCUCGAUGUCGGCUCAUCGCAUCCUGGGGCGGUAGUACGUCCCAAGGGUUGGGCUGUUCGCCCAUGAAAGCGGUACGCGAGCUGGGUUCAGAACGUCGUGAGACAGUUCGGUCCAUAUCCGGUGUAGGCGUUAGAAUAUUGAGAGGAGCCUUCUUUAGUACGAGAGGACCGAGAAGGACAUACCUCUGGUGUACCAGUUAUCGUGCCAACGGUAAACGCUGGGUAGCUAUGUAUGGAGAGGAUAACCGCUGAAAGCAUCUAAGUGGGAAGCCCACCUCAAGAUAAGUAUUCUCAUC
This 1245-nucleotide ribosomal RNA is filed under the name metagenome. Its description in RNAcentral is "bacterial LSU rRNA". It matches the Rfam family "Bacterial large subunit ribosomal RNA", at positions 1564 to 2818 of the family's 2925-position model. The record is from RNAcentral.